AAAGGGGGUCUAUUAAACAAUACAGAAUGAAGGCUGUCCUGCAGCUGGAGUAUUUUAUUACCCUUGUCUUUUGCGCACUUGUUGUUUCCUGGGCGGGUUCGCUCGCCACCAGGACCACCAAAUAAACCUUUUUUAUGCAGUUGCAAUCAGCGUCAGUACAAACAAUGUAAAUCAUUUACAACUUUCAACAACGGAUCUCUUGGUUCUGGCAUCGAUGAAGAACGCAGCGAAAUGCGAUACGUAGUGUGAAUUGCAGAAUUCAGUGAAUCAUCGAAUCUUUGAACGCACAUUGCGCCCUUUGGUAUUCCAAAGGGCAUGCCUGUUCGAGCGUCAUUUGUACCCUCAAGCUUUGCUUGGUGUUGGGCGUUUUUGUCUUUGGUCGCCCAAAGACUCGCCUUAAAGUGAUUGGCAGCCGGCCUUUCUGGUUUCGCAGCGCAGCACAUUUUUGCGCUUGCCAUCAGCAAGACGGCAAUCCAUCAAGCCUCCUUCUCACGUUUGACCUCGGAUCAGGUAGGGAUACCCGCUGAACUUAAGCAUAUCAUUAAGCGGAGGAA
Molecule: ribosomal RNA, 554 nt
Filed under: Bipolaris sp. B60-132
Lineage: Eukaryota; Fungi; Ascomycota; Dothideomycetes; Pleosporales; Pleosporaceae
Description: eukaryotic LSU rRNA
Rfam family: 5.8S ribosomal RNA (bases 180-333)
Source: RNAcentral